CUGUCUCAACAAAUGACAAUGGUGUUAAAAUUCUAGCUAAUACAGAAGGAAUUAGGAAUUAGGCUGCUUCGGACAGUGGAGAAUCGUACAUUUGAUGCUUCUAGAGUUGCUUCUGCCGUUGUUGUGAAGGCACCUUCUUUUGGAUCUUUUCCUUCUAGCAAUGUGACUGUUGGAACAAGCCUUGCUGAUAGAGCUCCUCCAGUAGCAGCCAUGGUUGGGAUUAAUAAUGAUACUCGAAGUUUAGCUGAUGUGAAACCUAGAAUUGUUGAUGAAGCUAUGGAUAAAUCUAGGAUUUGGAAGCUGACAGAAAUAAAUGAACCAUCACAAUGUCGUUCCCUGAAACUUCCUGAUAGUUUAUCAUCAAUGAGGGUUUAUAGAUUAAUUUAUACAAAU
Non-coding RNA from Cajanus cajan (pigeon pea), 393 nucleotides. The record is from RefSeq and is a predicted model, not a curated record. Lineage: Eukaryota; Viridiplantae; Streptophyta; Magnoliopsida; Fabales; Fabaceae.